RNAcentral lists this ribosomal RNA (443 nucleotides) under uncultured bacterium. RNAcentral's name for it is "SSU rRNA". It matches the Rfam family "Bacterial small subunit ribosomal RNA", at positions 26 to 518 of the family's 1533-position model. The record is from RNAcentral.
AGAACGAACGCUGGCGGCAGGCUUAACACAUGCAAGUCGAACGCCCCGCAAGGGGAGUGGCAGACGGGUGAGUAACGCGUGGGAACGUGCCCUUCGCUUCGGGAUAGCCUCGGGAAACUGGGAGUAAUACCGAAUACGCCGUAUUGGGAAAGAUUUAUCGGCGAAGGAUCGGCCCGCGUUGGAUUAGCUAGUUGGCGGUGUAAUUGACCACCAAGGCGACGAUCCAUAGCUGGUCUGAGAGGAUGAUCAGCCACACUGGGACUGAGACACGGCCCAGACUCCUACGGGAGGCAGCAGUGGGGAAUCUUGGACAAUGGGCGCAAGCCUGAUCCAGCCAUGCCGCGUGAGUGAAGAAGGCCUUAGGGUUGUAAAACUCUUUCGCCGGUGAAGAUAAUGACGGUAACCGGAGAAGAAGCCCCGGCUAACUUCGUGCCAGCAGCCGC